This 466-nucleotide ribosomal RNA is filed under the name uncultured bacterium. RNAcentral's name for it is "partial 16S ribosomal RNA". It matches the Rfam family "Bacterial small subunit ribosomal RNA", at positions 28 to 507 of the family's 1533-position model. The record is from RNAcentral.
GAUGAACGCUGUCGGCGUGCUUAACACAUGCAAGUCGAACGGAAAGGCCCUGCUUGCCGGGUACUCGAGUGGCGAACGGGUGAGUAACACGUGGGUGGUCUGCCCUGUACUUUGGGAUAAGCCUGGGAAACUGGGUCUAAUACCGAAUAUGUCACUUGUUUGGAUGCGAUUGUGGAAAGCUUUUGCGGUAGGGGAUGAGCUCGCGGCCUAUGGGCUUGUUGGUGGGGAAAUGGCCUACUAAGGGGUUGACGGAUAGCCGGCCCGAGAGGGUGUAGGGCCACAUUGGGACUGAGAUACGGCCCAGAGUCGUACGGGGGGCAGCAGUGGGGAAUAGUGAACAAUGGGGCCAAGCCUGAGGCAGCGAGGCCGCGUGGGGGAUGACGGCCUUCGGGUUGUAAACUCCUUUCGCAACCGACGAGGCCGUGUGGUGACGGUAGGUUGAGAAGAAGCACCGGCUAACUACGUG